CAAAUCAGAGUCCGAUGGGACGGAAAUCGUCGGACCACUCCAACGUCGUUAAUUUUCUUUCCAUCCAACGGUUGGCUCUUCUUCAAAAGAAAAAAGAAAGAAACCCCUUAACCCCGCACGUUGACCACCCAAAUCCCCAAAUUUCCGGCCAGUUAUGCCUCCACCAAAUUGGGAAAUUGAUCUGCUGCUCGGUGCCUUCUCUCCGCCGCGAUUCUGGUAUACCAUGGCGCCUUGCCUCUCGCCGCCUCACUGCACCCUCACAUCCAGGCAUAGAUCCGCGCCUCCACCUGGAUCGACUCUGGCGCCGGCGGGCAUGUCGUUCCCCCGUGGGGAAUCAUGGCGGAGCCUCGCUGACCGCCGUCGGCCGAUGCAAAAAUUGGAGGCAGCCUUGCCGGGACAACCAAGUUCACACUCUCCUUCGUGGAUUUGAAGCAGGUUGGAGGCUACUUCCACUAGUCUAGGUCACCAUCAACGACGACAUGAAUCGGGGGAAGUAGGCCUUCAAGUUGUAGCAUCUCUAUGUCCAUGCCGCUCCAACUGCCGCACAUAGUCGAGCAGCGGAAGAAAGCACACUCACCAUCUAAAUGAAGCACCAUCACGAUCGGAAGGAAGCAUGGAAGACCGGUGGCGUGUGACGAAGCAUGAUCACCAUCUGAAUGAAACAUGAUCACCAUCGAAAAGGAGCAUGGCGAAAUCAGCCGGUGGAGCGGAACGAAGCAUGACCACCAUCUGAAUGAAGCACGGCCACGAUCAAAAGGAAGCAUGGAAAUCAUCGUGUGUUGCCAUCUGCAUCUUCCUCGACGGCGUAGAGUCUAGUCCCAUAUGACACAUUUUUUGCUUUAUGGAAGCAAACCUAAAGCAAGUACUCCUGUUUUAAAAGUUGUGCUUCGUCCAAUGCAGAAGCAUUUGUAAAGAAAGUAGCACAAGUGAUGUAGACAUUU
Long non-coding RNA from Lolium perenne, 941 nucleotides. RefSeq lists it as uncharacterized. The record is from RefSeq and is a predicted model, not a curated record. Lineage: Eukaryota; Viridiplantae; Streptophyta; Magnoliopsida; Poales; Poaceae.